Cottoperca gobio is the source of this 495-nucleotide non-coding RNA. The record is from the annotation of a RefSeq genome assembly. NCBI's taxonomy places the organism in Eukaryota, Metazoa, Chordata, Actinopteri, Perciformes, Bovichtidae.
AUGAACGCAGGUUCAAACUCUGCUAUCUAUGGCAGCUCCUUUCAAAGCCGUUUCAUCAUGACCGAAGAUGUGCCCAGCAGCACUCAGUACCUCGAGAGAGGAGGACAGAGAACAGUGGACACACAGUUCAACAUGAUGGACUACAGGACAGGACUGCUGCUUCUAACUUUCUGCUGGGCAGGUGUUGAUGGUCAGACUCUGACAGAAUCUGAACCAGCAGUUAAAAGGCCUGGAGACGCUCACAGAUUAACAUGUACAACAUCUGGAUUCACAUUAAGCAGCUACCAUAUGAACUGGAUCAGACAGGCUCCUGGAAAAGGACUGGAGUGGAUUGCUUUUAUAUACACAGGCAGUUCUUAUAUCUAUUACUCCCAGUCAGUCCAGGGUAGAUUCACCAUCUCCAGAGACGACUCCAGCAGUAAAGUCUAUCUGCAGAUGAACAGUCUGAAGACCGAGGACACAGCAGUGUAUUACUGUGCUAGAGACACACAGUGA